CCUACGGGAGGCAGCAGUGAGGAAUAUUGGUCAAUGGGCGCGAGCCUGAACCAGCCAAGUAGCGUGAAGGAUGACUGCCCUACGGGUUGUAAACUUCUUUUAUAAAGGAAUAAAGUGAGGCACGUGUGCCUUUUUGUAUGUACUUUAUGAAUAAGGAUCGGCUAACUCCGUGCCAGCAGCCGCGGUAAUACGGAGGAUCCGAGCGUUAUCCGGAUUUAUUGGGUUUAAAGGGAGCGUAGAUGGGUUGUUAAGUCAGUUGUGAAAGUUUGCGGCUCAACCGUAAAAUUGCAAUUGAUACUGGCAGCCUUGAGUACAGUUGAGGUAGGCGGAAUUCGUGGUGUAGCGGUGAAAUGCGUAGAUAUCACGAAGAACACCGGUUGCGAAGGCAGACUACUAAACUGCCACUGACGUUGAUGCGCGAAAGUGUGGGGAUCAAACAGGAUUAGAUACCCCGGUAGUC
This 460-nucleotide ribosomal RNA is filed under the name uncultured bacterium. RNAcentral describes it as "partial 16S ribosomal RNA". It matches the Rfam family "Bacterial small subunit ribosomal RNA", at positions 338 to 795 of the family's 1533-position model. The record is from RNAcentral.